This 724-nucleotide ribosomal RNA is filed under the name uncultured Actinomycetes bacterium. RNAcentral's name for it is "bacterial SSU rRNA". It matches the Rfam family "Bacterial small subunit ribosomal RNA", at positions 777 to 1500 of the family's 1533-position model. Lineage: Bacteria; Bacillati; Actinomycetota; Actinomycetes. The record is from RNAcentral.
AUUAGAUACCCUGGUAGUCCACGCCGUAAACGGUGGGUGCUAGUUGUGGGCCACAUUCCACGUGGUCCGUGACGAAGUUAACACAUUAAGCACCCCGCCUGGGGAGUACGGUCGCAAGACUAAAACUCAAAGGAAUUGACGGGGGCCCGCACAAGCGGCGGAGCAUGCGGAUUAAUUCGAUGCAACGCGAAGAACCUUACCAAGGCUUGACAUAUAGAGGAAACGUGCAGAAAUGUACGCCCCGCAAGGUCUCUAUACAGGUGGUGCAUGGUUGUCGUCAGCUCGUGUCGUGAGAUGUUGGGUUAAGUCCCGCAACGAGCGCAACCCUCGUCCUAUGUUGCCAGCACGUAAUGGUGGGAACUCAUGGGAGACUGCCGGGGUCAACUCGGAGGAAGGUGGGGAUGACGUCAAAUCAUCAUGCCCCUUAUGUCUUGGGCUUCACGCAUGCUACAAUGGCCAGUACAAAGGGCUGCAAUACCGUAAGGUGGAGCGAAUCCCAAAAAGCUGGUCUCAGUUCGGAUUGAGGUCUGCAACUCGACCUCAUGAAGUCGGAGUCGCUAGUAAUCGCAGAUCAGCAACGCUGCGGUGAAUACGUUCCCGGGCCUUGUACACACCGCCCGUCAAGUCACGAAAGUCGGUAACACCCGAAGCCGGUGGCCUAACCGUAAGGAAGGAGCCGUCGAAGGUGGGAUUGGUGAUUGGGACUAAGUCGUAACAAGGUAAC